Odontomachus brunneus is the source of this 3334-nucleotide RNA transcript. It is a transcript of the gene named nuclear distribution protein nudE-like 1-A, with no coding region annotated. The transcript has 9 exons. The record is from RefSeq and is a predicted model, not a curated record. Lineage: Eukaryota; Metazoa; Arthropoda; Insecta; Hymenoptera; Formicidae.
ACUCUCGCUCCCUCUUUUGAACUUUUCUGCCUGCCUCCUCGCCACCAUUUUGCAUGAUCCUCGGGUUCUUCAGAAUCCGCGAACGAGUGCGGAAUAACGGUGGUCGCGAUCGGGUGUGAUCCUCACAUCGCGAUCGACGUGUGCGACAAAAUCGCGAGAUCUGCGAGGAGUGCAUUCGUGUGCGCGUUUCCGACACAGACUCCGCAGACAGCGCAAACUUACCUGCACCUACACCUGUCUUCUUGCCGCCGCUACACCGAUAUUUUUACGUACUCGCUACACGCCUCCUCGUCGCCUCGCUAACCAGUGUGACUCAUAAUAACACGCAUUUCAGUGUAUAACACGUGGGACAGCAAUUAUAUGUAUUCGUAACUCAUAUUAGAAGCAAAAUCAAGGGGUAGUAAAAUUACAUAUAUUCUCGUAACAAUCUCCAAGUGCAAUGAUGGAUGUAGAUCCGCCGGAAUUUCUCUCAAAGGAUGACGAGAUUCAAUAUUGGAUGGAUUUGGCUCACCAAUUUCAUCAGAGGAAAAACAAUGUUGAACGUGAGCUAGAAGAGUUCCAAGAGAAUUCGCAGAUGUUGGAGGAAGAAUUGGAGACAUCCUUGGAACAAGCAGAGAAGACAAAUAGAGAACUGAGACAGAGAAAUACAAGACUAGCCACAGAGAUUGAACAGUUGAGGACACGAUUAGAUCAGCAGUCUACAGAUUGCGCUAUGUUUCAAGGCAAGGCACAAGAUUUACAGCUGCAGCAUGAACGUUUACUGAAAUACAUUAGAGAACUUGAACAAAAAAAUGACGAUUUGGAAAGAGCACACAGGAUAAAUAGGGUCACUGAAGAAGAAAUAGAAGCUAAGUUUAAUUUAGCUAUAGAAAAAAAUGCUUUGCUUGAGUCAGAACUCGACGAAAAGGAAAGCUUGAAAGUUAUAGUGCAAAGAUUAAUGGACGAAGUUAGAGACCUAAAGCAGGAGAUACAGGUACACGAGAGGCAUCAUGCAGACAAUAAUAAGUCCGAGAGAGUUCGCAGCAUUGUCGAUAACAAUAAGCUGCAAACCGAAUUGGAAUCGAAUUCACCUGCUAGCCAAAUAGCCCCGCAAACCAUACCUCCGAAUAAUACAACGACUUCGCCAUUAAAAAUUGGACACGGGAUGGUAGGGGGAGUAAUUGGAAACAACAACAAUAAUAAUAUGAGCCAACCAUUGCCACCCUGCACUAGAAUACUGGCAAUGAAUAUGAUCGGUGACCUUAUGCGAAAAGUAGGGCUUGACAGAUGGGUCUGCGUAGGCUGUAGAAGAAUAAAAUGCGCUUGUCCGAGCGGACAAAUAUCGAAUACCACGUCGUCUAGCGACUUAUCAACCCAGACACACGCAUCUGUUCAGUGCAUAAGGCAACAACCUAGACCGACCACAUGCAGAUCUUCGUCGUGACCUCUCAUCGUUAAAUUAUUUUGCACCUCCCUAAGAAGCAGGCGUUGGAAAAUAAGCUGAACACAUGUCGAAAUGCGUUUCGAGAAGAUCAAGCGGUUCGUGAUCUCUACAGGGCUAGACGACAAGUCAGAAGCCCAGCCUCAGGAAACAACAACCACAUUCGAUUAUAAACGAAGAGAUAAUGUCGCAGCGAUCGUAUGUCCGCACACAUCAUGUUAUGUAACACUAAUGUAACAUUAAUUGAAUAUUCGUUUAAUAGUAAUUUCUCGUCCAAGUUAGUUCGACAAAAUUUAUACAGAAUCGAAAAGCGCUAACAUUUUUUCAUGCUAGGCAUGAAAACUUCUCUUUUAGCUAUAAUUUUUGUAACUCACCGUUUCCAUUACGACUCGCGUUGAUUACCUUCGUUUGCGUUUCUCUUUAUCUCUGUUGUAAUACGCGAAUAAAAGAAUAUAUUUUAUUAAAACCUACAUGUGUAAGCUCGCCGCUAUAAAUUACUUAAAAACAAGGAUUCAAAUCGAUAUAAUUUUGAUGAGUUGAGUUCUGACGCAGCAGUAGGUACGUAAAGAAUUCUCUCUCGUGUCGGGGGAUGACAUGUCUCGCUUCCAUCGACGUUUAUUUGCGAUUAAACAGUAACGUCGUUUCUAAUAUCCAAGCUUGAGCUCAGCGGAAUUAUACCAGUCCCUGCUAAAACUGUAUUAUUGGUACACCGAGAUAACUUGGGAUGAAUUCUAUCACAUUCACUCUUUCAAGCCUAUUACACCACAUUACUACGGAUAAACAUAUACCAUCGCCACGUAUAACAAUAUAUAACCGUUAAAAAAGACCGACAAUUUUCGUGUAAAUAACUGAGAAUAAUAAUUGAGAAUAAUCAGGUAAAAAAAGUAACAGAGUACUAUUACUUAUUAGUUAUAUAUACAUAUGUACAUGUAUAUACUAUGUAUAUAUCUAUACAUACAUAUAUGUAUAUGCGCAUAUAUUUGUAUAUAUAUGCUUAUAUACAUAUGUACAUACAUAUAUAUACAUGUGCGCGAAUUAGAUAUUUCUCUCCUCCGCAUUAAACAUUACGCCCUUUUUUUAGUAGUUUCUUCCCUCUCAAACGUGAAACUACGACAAUUGUCUAGAAAGCGUUCGGAUAGAAUUUUGUAAAUAUUAGCGUAUUAAUGAAGAGUUAGAGACGAUAACUCAUUAAAAGCCGCAUAUCAAUCUUAGUUUAUAUAUGUUUUUAUGAAAUUGAUUACGAUCUCGUAUUGAGUCGCAUUACAUGAAGAAUAACACAAAUGCUGCGAAAUGGAAUAACAAUCUCUUGCUUGCGAUUUUGAAUUUUCUUUUAUUGCGAUAUGCGGUUUGGUAUUAUUGUCUAGAGCGUUUCUCAUGUAUAUUACGCAUAAACAAAAUGCGGUAACGGAGUAUCAUUAUUUAUUAAAAAACGAGAUAUUUGAUGACAUUUGUAGGUAUAAUUACACAAACAAUAAAUAAUUUAUGAACUUCUGAUUUUUAACGCGUAGAUUUAGUGUAAUUUGUAACUGUAUUUAUUAUUGUCUUCAAUAAUUAGUGUGUAUACUUUGUAAAAAUGUGUACUUUUAGCGCUUCACAAACAUGUUUAUACAUACAUAAUCCUUUUAUUUUUUUAAUAUUUCGUACAAAUAAAAUUUACUAAUUGAGGCAGCAUAAUAUUACUUGGCGCAACUAUAAUUGGAUUGUAAUUCCAAUAACUAUGAUAUAUGCAUUGUAUAAUUAGAGCUAGCGAGAACAUGAUUGCGCCGAUGUAGAUCGAAAGUUUAUUUCUUUAAACUACAUGUGCAAAAAAGAUACCAUUGGUAAACUACAGAAUUGUUAUAAAUGGAAAUUAUAAUCAUGUUGUAUUAUUAUAAGAACGUCAAAACCUCAUUUAAUAAAAUCUUAUUAAUUUAA